GGGUCAGUAGGUUGGUCGUGCCACCGGUACGUACUGGUCUCACUGAUUCCUCCUUCCUGAAGAACCGUAAGGCCAGUAAUUUGGUGUUGCGGGGAAACAGGACUGUUACUUUGAAAAAAUUAGAGUGUUUAAAGCAAGCUAACGCUUGAAUACAUUAGCAUGGAAUAAUGAAAUAGGACGAUCGAUCCUAUUUUGUUGGUUUCUAGGAUUGACGUA
RNAcentral lists this ribosomal RNA (216 nucleotides) under Glomeromycotina sp. Its description in RNAcentral is "partial small subunit ribosomal RNA". The stretch from base 87 to 216 matches the Rfam family "Eukaryotic small subunit ribosomal RNA", at positions 733 to 864 of the family's 1831-position model. The record is from RNAcentral. Lineage: Eukaryota; Fungi; Glomeromycota.